This is a long non-coding RNA of Amphibalanus amphitrite, 1420 nucleotides long. RefSeq lists it as uncharacterized. The record is from RefSeq and is a predicted model, not a curated record. Lineage: Eukaryota; Metazoa; Arthropoda; Thecostraca; Balanomorpha; Balanidae. The transcript has 2 exons.
GCAGUUAUUACAAAAUAAAGGGCAUAAUGCGUUUUUGUAAAGGGUUUUGGUUUCUUUUCUAGUCUUCAGGGGCAGGGAGUUUAGAUAGAAACAGAAAUAUACAAGAGAAAACGGCCGUGGUGAAUGCAACCGUCACCCACCUGGGUGAAUAUACAAUUAAGCCAUCUGCCAUGGACGGUAUCUGGAAAAGGAAGCGUCGCCACAGUGAACAGGAGCUCCGACCGGAGCUGUUUCGACCGUCUGCUGCCCCCAGCACUCCCCCUGCGCCGGUGGUUCUGCGGACCUCCACCCGGCGUAUGAUCGUGCUGCCGCGGACCGUGCUCUGGGGUCUGGUGGUGUCCCUUUCCUUCACGUGCUUCCUGCUGGGGGCGCUGCUGCUGCGGGAGCACUUGCUGUACGGCCGUCACCGCCGCUAGGUGGCCGGGAGCAGUGGCGGAAGACGAUGAUGAACAUUGAACACGGUGAUGUUAAUUGGUUGGAUUCUUAGGCACUGCAGCUAAAAACGACCUUGUGCUUUCAAUUCAUCGAGGAAAAGUGUGCUUGCUUGCACCGCAUCAGAGAAGAGGGCCGAUGUACAGCACGCCCGACACCUGGCGGUAAGACUGCGGGACACAGCUAAUGCUGCUGACAGAUGGCGCGGCCGUGCGAUGCUCGUGGCCAUCUGUCGGCGCGACUCGCAGUCACUGACUCACCGGACGCGCUGAGUGCAGCGUGCGGUCUGAAGGAAGUGACGUCAUGCCGUAGUAAUGACGUCACGGGUGGUUACACAGACUAAACGCUCGAACAGAGCCGUGACGUGAGUCGUGAGUGUGAUCCGGCUCGGGGCAUUGGGUACGCUAGUCAAUCGGUCGUUUACCCGAGUGUAGUUCGUUUGGAAUGGCCCAGUGUAGCUUCACUUGCGUCCGCCGAUAGUCGUUUCCUGUUUGGAUGUGCUGUGACUUCGGAAUGUAGGUAUGUGAAGCUUGAAACACCCUUGUGUGUAUAUGGCACAGGUGACGAAUGUGACUAUGUGCCUUUGCAAACGCGUGCAUAAGCUAUGAUGAAUUUACAAACGGCGUAUUACGAAUCUCAGGUCUGUGAAACUUCUGGGAUGACAUGUAACUUGGGACGUAGGUAUUCAAUUACCACCAGACCUCCAGGGCGGUCGUGGAUUUUGAUUCGAUUGCGAUGUAUGUACUAUGUGUCAUCCACGAUACAGUGCCUAGUUGUCCCGCUCUUUGUCAUGGUAAAUUGUGUGCCUUGCUGUUUCGCACGUGGCUGAAAGCCAACACCUCUAGGUGUAGACUGUAAAUGCCUAGCGAUCGCGAUCCUCACGUCAUCCCAAUUUCUAGUAUUUAUCGUGCAAUAAGCCUGGGGAAUGUGAGUCAUCGGUUGUGCAACUGUUGCCACUCUAGUCAAAUACAAUGAUGUCACGCCAAAA